CAAUCAGAAAUUACUCCACACUUUUUAUUGAUCUCUGGUUCUACCAUAUCUUAUUUAUUGGGUGGAAAUAUGGGCUAAUAACUAUAAAAGCAAUCUUCACUCGCUACAAAUGUGCUGCAAAAAAGGUCAGUAAGGAUAAUUCAUAAUGCCGCCUACAGAGAACAUACUAACAGUUGUAGAACUGUAUUGCGUUGAUUUAUUUACACCAUUAGUAAAAUUAAUUAGCAAAAUAUCAGUAUGAUAUCAGUAUGAUGGUGACGCAGUAAACUACAUCCACAAUAAUAAGUAUACUUUAUUAUUAAAUUACUAUCUAAAACUAAUUCAUUAAUUCAUUUUCUACCGCUUUUUCCUCACGAGGGUCGCGGGGGGUGCUGGAGCCUAUCCCGACUGGUGGCCGGCCAAUCACAGGGCACAUAUAGACAAACAACCAUUCACACUCACAUUCAUACCUAUGGACAAUUUGGUGUCGCUAAUUAACCUAGCAUGUUUUUGGAAUGUGGGAGGAAACCGGAGUACCCGGAGAAAACCCACGCAUGCACGGGGAGAACAUGCAAACUCCACACAGAGAUGGCCGAGGGUGGAAUUGAACCCUGGUCUCCAAGCUGUGAUCGGUGUGCCGCCCUCUAAAACUAAUACUAAUACAGUAAACCUCGGAUAUAUCGGAUUCAAUUGUUCCCACUGGUUUUGUCCGAUAUAAGCGAAAUCCGUUAUAUGCGUAUACCGGAAAAUGUCCGUUUUACGCAUAUAUCGGAUUUAUAUCCGGUAUAUGCGUAAAUGGGAUUUUAUCCGGAAUAAAAAGGCACUUCCUUGACUAUGUUUCCAAUGUACCUGGACGCGCAGGCAACGCUGCAAACGCUGCAAAUGACGUCGUAUAGCGGCCUGUCACGAUUCGGGGAAUCGGAGCGCCACGAUGCGGCCAUCCGAUAUAUGCGAGGGAAAUUUAAUGGAAAUGCAUUGGAACGGGACUGGAGAUUUUGUCCGAAAUAGGCGAAAUCCGUGAUAAAAAAUCCGAUAUAUGCAAUGAAUUUUUAUUGGAAAUGCAUUACAGAAAAAUCGGUUCUUUUUUAUCUGUCCGUUGUGAGCGAAUUUCCGAUAUAUCCGAGUCCGAUAUAUCCGAGGUUUACUGUACUAACUAAUACUCCAACUGUACGCACCAGUGCGAGUGGCUCCUCUUCCAUCAGAGAGUAGUGGGAGGAGGACAGGGAAGAUAUGGAAUUGUCAGAGAGCGUACGGGUGUUGCCCGGCGUGGGAGUCGCGCUCCGUCUCUCCUCUGGACUCUCUUCUUCUUUGAGGAGCGAGGAGAAGUCCAGACCGGAGUUCUGCAGCUCACUGUAGGUCCCGCUUGCCGCCAUUUGACCCUGACAAAAAUAGCCAUAUUCAUAUCCAGGAUUAAUUUGAUAUUGUCAGUUAUUGUGGUGUGCAAACGUGUCGAAGUGCGCUGCAUCACCUCUUUUAAGACAAUAAUUUGAUGCGCAGCCUUGAGAUAAUGCAGCUGGUGAGUGAUGAGAACACACGGCUUGUUCCUCAAAAGUCCACAAAUACACCUAAACACACAUAAGUUAUAACGUAAUGUUAUUAAUAUUUGAUGUAGGAUUGUAAUUUAGUUUUUAAUAUGAAUUUACUCUUCAAAGAUGUGCUUGCCCACUUCGGCAUCCACAGCACUGAGAGGGUCAUCCAGGAGGUAGAUGUCUGCAUCCUGGUACACUGCUCUGAAAAAUACCCUCAGUCAGAAGUUCAUUCAUUCAUUCAUUUUCGACCGCUUUUCCUCACGAGGGUCGCGGGGGGUGCUGGAGCCUAUCCCAGCUGUCUUUGGGCGAGAGGCGGGGUACACCCUGGACUGGUGGCCAGCCAAUCACAGGGCACAUAUAGACAAACAACCAUUCACACUCACAUUCAUACCUAUGGACAAUUUGGAGUCGAAAACGUAAUAACUGCCCGCUAACGUAAUACAAAUUUGCAGCUUUUAAUGUAAUAAUCCCGCAAAUUCCCACAAACUUAAUAAAAUUUGCCUACUGCAAACGUAAUACUGAAUUACUGAAAUUAUUACAAAUGUGCCAAAGUGAAAAUCUGUAAAUGUAAUAACUUCCGACAAAUUUAAUAUGAGACAAAAUAAUCAUCUUUGUGGUUGUUGUUGUUGUUUAUUUGUUUACUUAUAAACCUGCCAAUAGUGACUAAAUGUUGACAAGCAACCCGCAGACAAGAUCAUAUUUUUGCUAACAAUCUUCCAGAUAUUCCUUGUGUCAUGACUACUAUGUACAUGUCAUUUGCGUGUGUGUGAGUGAGUGACAAGAAAAAAAGCUCUGACUUGCUAGGGGGUGUAUGGAGUAAUUUUGGUGCCACCUGUUGGUUUGCACGUAUAGAUCAAUACGUCAAAAAAAAACUCAAAUUACGAAGACGAUUCAUUCAUUUUCUAAUAUAGACAAACAACCAUUCACACUCACAUUCAUACCUAUGGACAAUUUGGAGUCGCCAAUUAACCUAGCAUGUUUUUGGAAUGUGGGAGGAAACCGGAGUACCCGGAGAAAACCCACGCAUGCACGGGGAGAACAUGCAAACUCCACACAGAGAUGGCCGAGGGUGGGAAUUGAACCCUGGUCUCCUAGCUGUGAAGUCUGCGCGCUAACCACUAGACCGCCGUGCCGCCCAGUCAGAAGUUAAAGUAAAAAAAAAAAACAGAAAAAGUGUAGUUCUUUUUAAGCGUGCACACCUAGCUAAGCUGAUCCUGGCUUUCUGUCCUCCGCUCAAGUUGGCCCCUCUGUCUCCGACCGGUGUCAAGUCGCCUCCUGGCAAGAGCUCCAUGUCCUGGACAAGGUCCAAACGCAGCCUUUUUUACCGAGUCAUUCAGAGACAGAGUGGACUUACUACAAGCUACAGUGUCCAAGUGCCCCCGCGGUCUCACUCUCUUCAGGGCACAGGCUCUCAGGACUCUGUUGUAUUUCUGGCAGUUGAGCGCUUUGCCAAAGAGAAUGUUGCUUUGGAUGGUGCCAGGUAAAAGCCAGGGCUGCUGCGAGGUGUAGGUGAGAUCCCCCUUGACUUUGAUCACGCCACUUUCCUGACUCAGCUCUCCCAGGAUGGCGCUGAGGAGCGAAGACUGACACACAAAAGUUACUGUUUUCAUGUCAAGUUAUGAGUUCCUCCUGAUGGCGCCUGUACCUUCCCCGAUCCAACGGGACCGAUUACAGCGAGCAGCUGACCGGGCCUCACGGUGAAGGACACAUUCUGCAAUGUUGGAGCCUCUUGAAUCUGUGAAGACAAUAUACAGUAACUCUUAGCAAGAUAUCAUAUUGCAGCUUUGCCAUAUUUUUGUCAUACAGUGGCCAGGAGCAUUUAUAUAUACAACCGCAGAGAGCAACUUUAUUUGAUUGACAUAUUUAAAGGGACUCGACGGGACACACUAGCAAUUUGCAUUUGCAAUUUUAUAGCAAUUUGAUAAAAUGUAGCUACUUAUUGUUAAAAAUAGAUAUUUUAUUUGUCCAUUCUGUUCAUGUUUUUGUAUUUUUGGUUUAAAAAAAAUAUUUGCAGUGAAUCCUCAGCCCAUGGAGGACAGUGAGGAAAGGUAAACAACAGCAGGAGCAACACGUUUCAACAAGGACACAAAAACACCACAGCUGAAAAGAAUAGAACCGCAGAGAGCAACUUUAUUUGAUUGACAUAUUUAAAGGGACUCGACGGGAUCCGCCACCCGACAUGACAUACACUAGCAAUUUGCAUUUGCAAUUUUAUGGCAAUUUGAUCAAAUGUAGCUUCUUAUUGUUAAAAAUAGAUAUUUGAUUUGUGCAAUCUGUUCAUGUUUUUGUAUUUUUUGGUUUAAAAAAAAAUAUUUGGAGUGAAUCCUCAGCCCAUGGAGGACGGUGAGGAAAGGUAAACAACAGCAGGAGCAACACGUUUCAACAAGGACACAAAAACACCACAGCUGAAAAGAAUACAACCGCAGAGAGCAACUUUAUUUGAUUGACAUAUUCAAAGUGACUCGACGGGAUCCGCUACCCGACAUGACACACACUAGCAAUUUGCAUUUGCAAUUUUAUAGCAAUUUGAUAAAAUAUAGCUACUUAUUGUUAAAAAUAGAUAUUUGAUUUGUUCAAUCUGUUCAUGUUUUUGUAUUUUUUGGUUUAAAAAAAAAUAUUUGGAGUGAGUCGCAUACACUCCCUUUGAAACAAUAUAUCUGACCACGAAAAAAAUGAAUCCUCAGCCCAUGGAGGACGGUGAGGAAAGGUAAACACAACAGCAGGAGAAACAUGUUUAACAAGGACACAAAAACACCACAGCUGAAAAGAAUAGAACCGCAGAGAGCAACUUUAUUUGAUUGACAUAUUUAAAGUGACUCGACGGGAUCCGCCACCCGACAUGACACACACUAGCAAUUUGCAUUUGCAAUUUUAUAGCAAUUUGAUAAAAUGUAGCUACUUAUUGUUAAAAAUAGAUAUUUGAUUUGUUUAAUCUGUACAUGUUUUUGUAUUUUUUGGUUUAAAAAAAAUAUUUGGAGUGAGUCGCAUACACUCCCUUUGAAACAAUAUAUCUGACCACGAAACAAAUGAAUCCUCAGCCCAUGGAGGACGGUGAGGAAAGGUAAACAACAGCAGGAGCAACACGUUUCAACAAGGACACAAAAACACCACAGCUGAAAAGAAUAGAACCGCAGAGAGCAACUUUAUUUGAUUGACAUAUUUAAAGUGACUCGACGGGAUCCGCCACCCGACAUGACACACACUAGCAAUUUGCAUUUGCAAUUUUAUAGCAAUUUGAUAAAAUGUAGCUACUUAUUGUUAAAAAUAGAUAUUUGAUUUGUUCAAUCUGUUCAUGUUUUUGUAUUUUUUGGUUUAAAAAAAUUAUUUGGAGUGAGCCGCAUACACUCCCUUUGAAACAAUAUAUCUGACCACGAAACAAAUGAAUCCUCAGCCCAUGGAGGACGGUGAGGAAAGGUAAACACAACAGCAGGAGAAACAUGUUUAACAAGGACACAAAAACACCACAGCUGAAAAGAAUAGAACCGCAGAGAGCAACUUUAUUUGAUUGAUAUAUUUAAAGUGACUCGGCGGGAUCCGCUACCCGACAUGACACACACUAGCAAUUUGCAUUUGCAAUUUUAUAGCAAUUUGAUAAAAUGUAGCUACUUAUUGUUAAAAAUAGAUAUUUGAUUUGUGCAAUCUGUUCAUGUUUUUCUUUUUUUUUUGGUUUAAAAAAUAAGAAUUUGGAGUGUUUGAAACAAUAUAUCCGACCACGAAACAAAUGAACAACAAAUGAGCAACACGUUUCAACAAGGACACAAAAACACCACAGCUGAACAGAAUAGAGGCCACAGGAGCCUGAGAAAAGUGUAAAACGUGUAUGGUUUUUACAGCCUUAAGGGCAUAUAAUGGUAAGAAAUGAAGUAGGCUACUUCGCAGAUUUCAGUUAUUGCUCGCUAUUUUGGGGACCUAUCCCCCGCAAUAAACAAGGGAACAGUGUAUUCUGUACCUAAAAUUAUGGAAUUCAUCUAUUUUAACCUCCACGGCCUCACCUUGUCCCAGUAGCAUAUCAGAUCCUGAAUCUUCAGCAUACAGUCUUUCUUCUCUGCCACAGGAAGUCCCAAAUGCUGAGGAGCAACUUCAUCCAGAAGGAGAAAAUUCUAACAAGAAUGAGUGUACUUCAAUACUUCACUCAAUACAACAUUGAUAUAAGCCUGUGUUGUACAGUACUUACUUUAAUUCUUCGGAUGCUAAUGAGGGAUUCUGACACCUUCUCAAUGGCAAAGGGAAAGAAAAGCGUGAUGGUGAGUCUGAUGGCGCCGUAGAGGGAAGCGGCCAUGAAGACGGUGCUGGAAGACAGCUGGUUGCCUGUUAGCACGUAGACGCAAACGGUGAUGAAGAUUAUGAGCUUGCUGGCCACGAAGAAGGACGCCAUGUUCAAGCCACGCAGAUUGCAAGUAUGCAAGAGUUAUGCAGUGGAAACGUUGGAAUGACAUGCUAGUGUACCUUCUGACUUCAUCCACAAGAGCAGCAAAAGGAGCAGAGACACCAACUGCAAGGAUGGAACCAACGUAAGCGCGACUCCAGCAUACUGAAUGGCUGCGAACCUCAGAGUGGAAAACAAUCUUCCAAACGCGGUCUGCACUGGGAUCAGAACUAAGAAGACGGCCAUUCCCGCCAAGCAUGAUGGGCCGAUCCAGUACAUCAACAGCGGUAUCACCAUGGCUGCUUGCAAGGGGGCAACCCACAGAAAGUGUAGAUACAAUGUUACCUAGGACACAAGGAUUUAAAGAAAUACAUACGGUGUACAUCCAGUUGGGUCACAACAUAGAGUACUAAUGAAGAUAAUUACCUCGUCGAAUCUGUUGACAUCAUUGGAGAGUAGAUUCACAAUUUGUCCCGUCGUCGUCUUUGUCAGCGCUGCAUUGUUUAGACUGAGAGCCUAUGACAAGACAAAUACGUUGCAUUAUAAUAACUCAACAGUGUUGUUCUUAUAAAGAACUGAUACGUCCUGAUGGAGCUGACCUUACGAUAGAUCAUGUGACACAUUGCCACGCGAAUCUUCAUGCCCGCUCUUUGUACGUGGUAGAAAUAAAGAUGGUGGAGCACAGCCACCCAGAUGGUGGACAGCGAGAUGCCGGCGGCGUAGCUGUAGGCCUCAUAGACUGCAGCUGGGGAUGUGGCGUCAGGAUUCUCAAAGUACUCAAUUAGCUUCCCAAGUAACCACGACUGAAGGACUUUGAUGCCUUCCUGGUAAAGAAGAGUAAAUGUGCUGAAUGAAGAAAAAAUUAGCCAUCUUUAGGAAUAACGUGAGUUGAUGCAUGAUACCUCGAUAAAGAUGUAUACUCCUAUGACGACAUACGCUCUCCAGUAACACCUUAUAAGGACUCUGGUGAGUUUGGGUUGCCGCAUAUCGUUUGCUGCCAUCUUGACUUCCUGGUUCCAGUACCUUUGAAAAGCAUAAACAAAUAGUGACAUGAUAGGAAACAAACGUGUGUGAUUGGUUUCCUCAAGUAGUGGCCUCCGCUAAGGGAGACACCAUACCUCCCCUCAUAUAAGCAGCUAGUUCGCAGUCAUUACAUUUAUUAGUUACUUGUAAUUAUGUUUAAAUGUUUAAAUUUUUUCAAAUUGUUUUUAA
Molecule: non-coding RNA, 7086 nt
Organism: Doryrhamphus excisus (bluestripe pipefish)
Lineage: Eukaryota; Metazoa; Chordata; Actinopteri; Syngnathiformes; Syngnathidae
Source: RefSeq, a predicted model, not a curated record